UAGAGUGGCGAACGGGUGAGUAACACGUGGGCAACCUGCCCCUCACACCGGGAUAACUCAGGGAAACUUGAGCUAAUACCGGAUACUCCGGACUGAUCGCAUGGUCGGUCCGGGAAAGUUCCGGCGGUGAGGGAUGGGCCCGCGCCCCAUUAGCUAGUUGGUGAGGUAAUGGCUCACCAAGGCAACGAUGGGUAGCCGAGCUGAGAGGCUGAUCGGCCACAUUGGGACUGAGACACGGCCCAAACUCCUACGGGAGGCAGCAGUGGGGAAUUUUGCGCAAUGGGCGAAAGCCUGACGCAGCAACGCCGCGUGCGGGACGAAGGCCUUCGGGUUGUAAACCGCUUUCAACAGGGACGAAAUUGACUGUACCUGCAGAAGAAGCCCCGGCUAACUACGUGCCAGCAGCCGCGGUAAUACGUAGGGGGCAAGCGUUAUCCGGAUUUAUUGGGCGUAAAGAG
Molecule: ribosomal RNA, 458 nt
Filed under: uncultured bacterium
Lineage: Bacteria
Description: bacterial SSU rRNA
Rfam family: Bacterial small subunit ribosomal RNA
Source: RNAcentral